Molecule: long non-coding RNA, 2054 nt
Organism: Felis catus (domestic cat)
Lineage: Eukaryota; Metazoa; Chordata; Mammalia; Carnivora; Felidae
Exons: 2
Source: RefSeq, a predicted model, not a curated record
GCCACGGUUCCCUGCAGCAGCCAGGGGUUCCCUACAGGCGGCCGGGGGUUCCCUACAGGCGGCCGGGGGUUCCCUACAGGCGGCCGGGGGUUCCCUGCAGCGGCCAGGGGUUCCCUACAGGCAUCCGGGGGUUCCCUACAGGGGGCCAGGGGUUCCCUACAGGCGGCCAGGGGUUCCCUGCAGUGGCCGGGGGUUCCUUACAGGCAGCCAGGGUUCCGUGCAGUGACUGGGGGUUCCCUACAGGCAGCUGGGGGUUCCCUAUAGGCAGCCAGGGGUUCCCUGCAGCGGCUGGGGGUUCCUUACAGGCAGGGUUCUCUGCAGUGACCGGGGGUUCCUCACAGGCGGCCAGGGGUUCCCUGCAGCAGCCAGGGGUUCCCUGCAGCGGCCAGGGUUCCCUGCAGCAGCCAGGGGUUCCCUACAGGCAGCCGGGGGUUCCCUACAGGCGGCCGGGGGUUCCCUACAGGCGGCCGGGGGUUCCCUGCAGCGGCCAGGGGUUCCCUACAGGGGGCCAGGGGUUCCCUACAGGCGGCCAGGGGUUCCCUGCAGCAGCCAGGGUUCCCUGCAGUGGCCAGGGGUUCCCUACAGGCGGCCAGGGGUUCCCUAUAGGCAGCCGGGGGUUCCCUGCAGCGGCUGGGGGUUCCUUACAGGCAGUCAGGGUUCUCUGCAGUGACCGGGGGUUCCUCACAGGCGGCCAGGGUUCCCUGCAAAGGCCGGGGGUUCCCUACAGGUGGCUGGCGCUUCCCUGCAGGCAUGGCCACUGGCCCUGGGGUGGCCCUCGUGCAUGCUCGUGGCCCCAUUUCCUUUGUAUUCAUGCUUAGCUAUAUGGGAGACGCAUCGAAAAUAGCUUUAUUUGAAAUACAAGAUGAGGCUUGAACUCUGGUUUGCAAAGAGAGAGGAAGCCUGUUACAAGAGGCGGUUCACAAGCCGUCAUGUGCUUUACGAGUGCCCUUGACCUCACGUAGGCACAAAUAGUCAUUUUAGCAUUAACAGACAUCAUAUAUUUUUAGAAUUUACUUGCAGCAUUUAUAUUUUGAAGUAUACAUGAAAUUUCCUAUUUUAUCAUUCAAUCCCAGGUCAGACAAAAAGGGUAGCUUUGACUGGCUUUUUUAAUAAGAUCACAUUAUCAAGCGAUUGUGCGAAUCCGAUGUUUUAAUGAUUAGCGGGUGGGUGAAAAGUCUGGGUAUGAAAAUAAUUCUCAGUGCUUGCUGCUGGUUGGAAGAAACCAGACCCAGGACUGGCAGGUCUGAGCAGGGGCGCGAGGGCCUCGCCAACGGGGCUCCCGGCCGCCCACAGCCGCUCUGUGGAUUGUUACCUGAUGUUUCCUAAAACAGUACUGGUCUGAAGUCCAUGGCCGGUUUUAGAGAAACAGUCCAGGCCGGAGUCCACAGUUCACGUUCACCGAGAAGGCGAGCCACGCGGUUCCUGGAGGGCUGACCUUGUGCCGACAUCACAGGCCUUGGGACGGUUCUUAGGGUGCGUGUGGUUGUGUGAACACCCCCCAGCACUCCUUGAUAAUCUCUACACGGGAUGGAAGUACUUUCCAGACAUUCCCAUGUGGGCAGGGGGUUCUGAUCUCCCGAAGGCCCCAGAUGGAGCCCCAACAUGUGCACGUCAGAACUGACAGCUGGUUAGUGAGGACUUAGGAUCAUCUAGGAUUAGACUAGGCUUUAACUUCCUGUGUGACUCAUUGGUGCAAAAAACCGUGGUGGUACUUAUGCCCUGACCCGUUUCCCGCUUGUUCUGACUACCAAGGAGGAACCUCGGAAGCUGCACCUGCUCGGCGGGCAGGCUCGACUUUGUUCCUUGUACAAUCUCGUGUAACGGGGCAGGACCGAUGGAAGAGGUGGCUUCAUUUUCUUUUAAUCUUGCGGGUUUCGAGAUUAGAAAAUGGCAUAUUUGCUCUGACACGUUUGAGAAGACAGAAAUAAAGUUACGUUGGGCAGAAUUUUUUCUUCUUUUAUAAACUCCUGUUAUUUUCAAAGCGGAGCAUGUUUUGUGAAAACACCUGUGUACAAUUUAAAGAGCAAGAAUAAAAUGAACGAUGGUGUACCUAC